Molecule: ribosomal RNA, 198 nt
Filed under: uncultured bacterium
Lineage: Bacteria
Description: partial 16S ribosomal RNA
Rfam family: Bacterial small subunit ribosomal RNA
Source: RNAcentral
ACGCUCGACACCUACGGGAGGCAGCAGUGGGGAAUAUUGCACAAUGGGGGAAACCCUGAUGCAGCGACGCCGCGUGAAGGAUGAAGUAUUUCGGUAUGUAAACUUCUAUCAGCAGGGAAGAAAGUGACGGUACCUGACUAAGAAGCCCCGGCUAACUACGUGCCAGUAGCCGCGGUAAUCUGAGCGGGCUGGCAAGGC